Long non-coding RNA from Gopherus flavomarginatus (Mexican gopher tortoise), 102 nucleotides. RefSeq lists it as uncharacterized. Lineage: Eukaryota; Metazoa; Chordata; Testudines; Testudinidae. The transcript has 3 exons. The record is from RefSeq and is a predicted model, not a curated record.
GAACUGCCAGGCCCAGAGGUGCCAGGGCUCUGAACUGCCAGGCCCAGAGGUGCUGGGCUCUGAAUCACCAGGCCCCGAGGUGCCGGGGCUCUGAACUGCCAG